CCUACGGGAGGCAGCAGUGAGGAAUAUUGGUCAAUGGGCGUAAGCCUGAACCAGCCAAGUAGCGUGCAGGACGACUGCCCUAUGGGUUGUAAACUGCUUUUAUGCGGGGAUAAAUGAUAUCACGUGUGAUGUUUUGCAGGUACCGCAUGAAUAAGGACCGGCUAAUUCCGUGCCAGCAGCCGCGGUAAUACGGAAGGUCCUAGCGUUAUCCGGAUUUAUUGGGUUUAAAGGGAGCGUAGGCCGUUUUAUAAGCGUGUUGUGAAAUGUACGGGCUCAACCUGUGAUUUGCAGCGCGAACUGUAUGACUUGAGUACGUUGGAAGUAGGCGGAAUUCGUGGUGUAGCGGUGAAAUGCUUAGAUAUCACGAAGAACUCCGAUUGCGAAGGCAGCCUACUGUGUCGUAACUGACGCUGAAGCUCGAAAGGGCGGGUAUCGAACAGGAUUAGAUACCCCAGUAGUC
RNAcentral lists this ribosomal RNA (460 nucleotides) under uncultured Prevotella sp. RNAcentral describes it as "bacterial SSU rRNA". It matches the Rfam family "Bacterial small subunit ribosomal RNA", at positions 338 to 795 of the family's 1533-position model. The record is from RNAcentral. Lineage: Bacteria; Pseudomonadati; Bacteroidota; Bacteroidia; Bacteroidales; Prevotellaceae.